UACGUAGGGUGCGAGCGUUAAUCGGAAUUACUGGGCGUAAAGCGUGCGCAGGCGGUUUCGUAAGACAGAUGUGAAAUCCCCGGGCUUAACCUGGGAACUGCGUUUGUGACUGCGAGACUCGAGUGUGGCAGAGGGGGGUGGAAGUCCACGUGUAGCAGUGAAAUGCGUAGAGAUGUGGAGGAACACCGAUGGCGAAGGCAGCCCCCUGGGUUAACACUGACGCUCAUGCACGAAAGCGUGGGUAGCAAACAGG
This 253-nucleotide ribosomal RNA is filed under the name uncultured bacterium. RNAcentral's name for it is "partial 16S ribosomal RNA". It matches the Rfam family "Bacterial small subunit ribosomal RNA", at positions 524 to 776 of the family's 1533-position model. The record is from RNAcentral.